RNAcentral lists this ribosomal RNA (536 nucleotides) under uncultured bacterium. RNAcentral's name for it is "bacterial SSU rRNA". It matches the Rfam family "Bacterial small subunit ribosomal RNA", at positions 9 to 526 of the family's 1533-position model. The record is from RNAcentral.
GAGUUUGAUCCUGGCUCAGAACGAACGCUGGCGGCGUGCUUAACACAGCAAGUCGAACGCGAACGGUUCCUUCGUAGUACAGUGGCGAACGGGUGAGUAACACGUAGGCAACCUGCCCGAGGGUCCGGCACAACCCUGCCAACGCGGGGCUAAUUCCGGAUAAUGCAGCGGAUCCGCAUGGAUAUGUUGUUAAAGGCGGGGAUCUUUCGAGACCUGCCGCCUUCGGAUGGGCCUGCGGUCCAUUAGCUUGUUGGUGAGGUAACGGCUCACCAAGGCUCCGAUGGAUAGCCGACCUGAGAGGGUGAUCGGCCACACUGGGACUGAGAUACGGCCCAGACUCCUACGGGAGGCAGCAGUGAGGAAUUUUGCGCAAUGGCCUAACGGCUGACGCAGCAACGCCGCGUGACUGAUGAAGCUCUAAGGAGUGUAAAGGUCUGUUAGGAGGGACGAACGGGGCGCUUUCGAACAGGGAGCGCCCGUGACGGUACCUCCAGAGAAAGCGCCGGCUAACUCCGUGCCAGCAGCCGCGGUAAUAC